AUGGCGCUGCCUCCUCAAUCCCAUCUCGACCUCCAGCCCCACCCCGCCUCACCGCGCGCCGUCCUCCGCUGCCGCUCGCCGCCCGUCACCGCAGCCGCCACCUCCUGCCCUGCCCCGCCCCGCCGCCACCGCGCGUUGCCCGCCCCCGCUGCCGCAGCGUGCCGCCGGCCGCACUCGCAGCCGCCCCGCUCGGCGCACCCACCUCGCUCGAGGUUGGGCAAGCGGGGAGUAGAGUUCGGGACGGCGGAUCGGAAUCCAUCGACUGAUUCUCUCUUUCUCUCCUCUUUCUUGGAUUCCUGGAGGUGGUGGAUCAAUCUUGCCUUCGUGGUGGCGGCAGAACGAGCCCGCUACGUCCAAGCAGGCCACUUGAUUGAUUUCAUGAGGCUUACUAGCUACGUCCCAAUCAAGAUAGCUGACUUACUAGCUACGUCCCAAGCAGGCCAAUCCAAUAUGUUGAUCAAUUUGAUUGUUCUGGCUGGAGGUCAGGAGUUCAGAAGCAGAAGCUCACAUCGAGGUCUUGGUGUGGGGCUGCUGGGGAAGGGAAUGUCCUUCUACUUAGUGAAAGUCGUUGGUGCGGAGGCUGAUUUUACCUUCUUUCAAAAUCACUCUGGUGACCCAGAGAUAGAUGAAGCUUUAAAGAAGGGAGAAGAUGCUGGGCUUGCCUUGCAUCCUAGCGCACUCAUCAACUUCAGAGUUACCAUUGGGAUCACUUUUCUCAUGAAAUCUGGAAAGAAGCGAGGAUUCUCAAUGCUGGGCAAUUUGAUGAGAAAUUAUCUUCUCUUUAAUGGUCCUGGUUCAGCGUUCACUGCUAUGAAAGAAGAAGGCAUAUAUUUUCCUUGUGGAAUUGCCAGUAGAAUGGCAGUGAGAACAAGUAAAAAUCUACAACAGUAUGACUAUGGUUCCUACUCAAAGUAG
Molecule: ribosomal RNA, 915 nt
Filed under: Triticum aestivum (bread wheat)
Lineage: Eukaryota; Viridiplantae; Streptophyta; Magnoliopsida; Poales; Poaceae
Description: partial small subunit ribosomal RNA
Source: RNAcentral